RNAcentral lists this transfer RNA (62 nucleotides) under Brachyuropus grewingkii. RNAcentral describes it as "tRNA-Asn". The record is from RNAcentral. Lineage: Eukaryota; Metazoa; Arthropoda; Malacostraca; Amphipoda; Acanthogammaridae.
UUGGCUAAAGCCAAAAAGAGGCUAAUCACUGUUACUGAUUUAAUUGGUCUCCCCUAGUCGUU